RNAcentral lists this ribosomal RNA (253 nucleotides) under uncultured Stappia sp. Its description in RNAcentral is "partial 16S ribosomal RNA". It matches the Rfam family "Bacterial small subunit ribosomal RNA", at positions 524 to 776 of the family's 1533-position model. The record is from RNAcentral. Lineage: Bacteria; Pseudomonadati; Pseudomonadota; Alphaproteobacteria; Hyphomicrobiales; Stappiaceae.
UACGAAGGGGGCUAGCGUUGUUCGGAAUUACUGGGCGUAAAGCGCACGUAGGCGGCUCAUUAAGUCAGGGGUGAAAUCCCGGGGCUCAACCUCGGAAUUGCCUCUGAUACUGGUGAGCUUGAGUCCGAGAGAGGUGAGUGGAACUCCGAGUGUAGAGGUGAAAUUCGUAGAUAUUCGGAAGAACACCAGUGGCGAAGGCGGCUCACUGGCUCGGUACCGACGCUGAGGUGCGAAAGCGUGGGGAGCAAACAGG